CCUGAGUGCUCACUGGAAGGACAGUUCCUGAAGCUGAGGCUCCAAUACUUUGGCCACCUCAUGAGAAGAGAAGACUCCCUGGAAAAGACCCUGAUGUUGGGAAAGAUGGAGGGCACAAGGAGAAGGGGACGACAGAGGACAAGAUGGUUGGAUAGUGUUCUCAAAGCUACCAGCAUGAGUUUGACCAAACUGCGGGAGGCAGUGGAAGACAGGAGUGCCUGGCGUGCUCUGGUCCAUGGGGUCACAAAGAGUUGG
Molecule: non-coding RNA, 255 nt
Organism: Podarcis lilfordi (Lilford's wall lizard)
Lineage: Eukaryota; Metazoa; Chordata; Lepidosauria; Squamata; Lacertidae
Source: the annotation of a GenBank genome assembly